GACGAACGCUGGCGGCGUGCUUAACACAUGCAAGUCGAACGUGAUUUUUGUGGAAAUUCUUUCGGGAAUGGAAAUGAAAUGAAAGUGGCGAACGGGUGAGUAACACGUGAGCAACCUACCUUACACAGGGGGAUAGCCGUCUGAAACGACGAUUAAUACCGCAUGAGACCACAGAAUCGCAUGAGAUAGUGGUCAAAGAACUAUCGGGGUAAGAAGGGCUCGCGUCUGAUUAGCUUGUUGGAAGGGUAAAGGCCUACCAAGGCGACGAGCAGUAGCCGGUCUGAGAGAAUGAACGGCCACAUUGGAGCUGGGACGCAGUCCAAAAUCCUACGGGAGGCGGCAGUGGGGAAUAGUGCAAAACGGGGUGAAUCAUGAUGCAGCGACGCCGGGAGAGCGAUGAAGGUAUUCAAAUCGUAAAGCCCAGUCAUAUGAGAAGAUAAUGACGGUAUCAUAGGAGGAAGCCCCGGCUAAAUACGUG
Molecule: ribosomal RNA, 478 nt
Filed under: uncultured bacterium
Lineage: Bacteria
Description: partial 16S ribosomal RNA
Rfam family: Bacterial small subunit ribosomal RNA
Source: RNAcentral